AGGUGAUGACUGCAGCGGCGCCUGCCCCCGCAUGGCACCAUGCGCCGUCGCAAUGGAUCGUCCAAACCUUCUCUGCGGACGGGUCUGGUUGUGUUAUUGGCCCAGUCCAGUCGACGACGAAGUCUGCCAAGACUUGUGACUUGAUGGCUGUAACACCCCACUGGUCGCACAAAAUGGAUAAUACCAUAAACCUCAUCUACCAAACUUACUCAACACAGGAGAUGUAAUAAAGAAAGAAUAUAAAGCAAGAAAAAAUCCGGCAGCACCUCCUUUGAAAACUAGCAUAACAAGGAGGGGAAAACAUGACGCACAUACAAGAUAUAAAGACAUAUAAUUCACAUAGUAGAAACUGAAAUGCAAGAGUGGUAAAACUUAAUUACGACCCAACUGAAGUAAAACAAAUGGGAUAAGAACUCAGUCCACCCCAAAAUAACCGCUCAACCAAGAAUAAAGCAAUUCACUAGACUUGUCCGACUCUGAUUAACAACAUUAAUGAAUGGUGGUUCCUUUAUUAAAGGUGUAGUGGCCGUGCUGCUACAUCCCUCUAUUCCCCAAAGCAGAAAUUAGGUGCCUGCAUCAAACAAUGCAAGAUGUGAGAUAACACAUCUCAGCAAGUAAACAUAAUAACAGCAAAUAGGACAUGGUAAAUCAACUGUGCUUACACAACCACGUGUUCAGAACUUCUUUCUUUUCUUUUGAACAGUAAAUUGUAGCAAGUAUACGAGUAACUAAAAAAAACUCAACACCAAGUAGAAUCACCAUGCACAAGUCCAAAUUAUCCACAUCCACAUAAUAGAUUCAGCACCUCUCCCAUGAAUGCACAUGGCUACAAAUGCAAUAAUGACUUCUGCCUCCAUAUCUCUAAGGAUAUGAAGCUGCACCAUACCCCUUCUCGGGCAACAUAUGAUGCUCAAUGUACCGGUACGGUCGGACCAUAAGAUCACGACGAAACUUCAAUGCAAUGGGUGAUGAGUGCAUUAUGCAUGACAACAUCAUAAGUUCUCCCCAAAUAAAAAAGGUGCUAGGCAUUUACUUCCACCCAUUCCACAUAAUUACCACUUGAGUAACAUAAUCAAACCUCAAACUCAACUUAUGAAAUCCAUGAAACAUGAACAUGUUCAAAUGAUGGUACUCGAAAGAAAAUAUGAAUUGGAACAUGAUAGCACAACAUAAACAAGUAUAAGACUCCUCAUCUCACAGACGGAAUAACCAUCACAGUUUUACUUGCCUUUACCGAAGUUCGGGCAAAAUCCCUAAGAACGAUCCGGAAGUCCACCACCUGUUUUUGACACCCAACUUAGUGCACCAAAUUCACAUAAAAAAAACUCAAAGACAACACCGCACCUACGCGCAAUCUCAAACCCCGACGCGGUAACAAUUCUCCCCUCACUAACCAAACUGCAGCGGCGCUGCUUAACAAUUCCAUAACUUAAAAAUUAGGACAGCAGUGAUGAUAAACAAAAACUUCAGAGACAACUACAUAAAAUUCCCCACAAGUUUUGUAUACAACUCAUGAUUGAAUUCUAACAUCUACUUACCUCUAAACGGUCCACAAAAUAAACCCUGCAAUCUGUUUUUUCUGUUUUGGGCAGCGACAUACGCUGAUUCAAACAGCGAUAACUUUUAAAAUAUAAUUCCGAUUUGAGCGCAUAAGUACUUGUUGGAAAGAUAAGAAAAAGACCUACAUGAUUCUCAUACUGAUUAACACUAAUUACUCCCGAAAAAUCCCCAGAAACUGCUAACACUGCUGCUGUUCAUCACUCUGAAAAAUCUGUUUUUUGGACAGCCACAUACCCGGAUUCAAACGAUGAUAACUUUUAAUUUAUAACUCCAAAUUGAGCGCAUAAAUACUCGUUGGAAAGAUAAAACAAAGUUCUACAAGAUUCUCAUACUGAUUAACACUAAUUGCUCCCGAAAAUCCCCAGAAACUGCUAAUACUGCUGCUGUUCAUCACUCUGAAAAAUCUGUUUUUUGGACAGCCACAUACCCGGAUUCAAACGAUGAUAACUUUUAAUUUAUAACUCUAAAUUGAGCGCAUAAAUACUCGUUGGAAAGAUAAAACAAAGUUCUACAAGAUCCCCAAAUUGAUCCCCAUUAAAUCUUCACGAAAAAAACCUAAAAACUGCUGGAACUACCGCUGUUCAUCCACCACGCAAAAUUCUGGACAGCCCCCCUCUAUCUAAUCGCAAACGCAACAUCUAAUCAAUUGAAUCGCAGCGCAAAUGAACAAGGGAUGAACACAAAAGAAAAAUCACCUUGGGUUCUCCCCCUUUCCUUCCUCCCUUCUUCCCUCCACCAAAACGAUUGGAGAUUCGCACCAAGAGACGAUGAUCCGAGCGGCACGGAGUAGCACCUAGGGAGGAGGGGAUUGGGGGGGGGGCGGCUAGGGUUUUGGUGGCUGCAACAAUGGAGAGAGGAGGAGAUGGGCAGGGGGGCGGCGGCCAAGG
This 2447-nucleotide long non-coding RNA is filed under the name Zea mays. RNAcentral describes it as "long non-coding RNA (ZMAY_LNC000306)". Lineage: Eukaryota; Viridiplantae; Streptophyta; Magnoliopsida; Poales; Poaceae. The record is from RNAcentral.